UUUUAUAUUAAAAUAUUAAUUUAAAUUUUAUAAAUUAAGAAAUAAUGAUAAAAUUAGUAUAAUUAUAUAUAUAUAUAUAUAUAUAAUAAAUUGUUAGGUUAAUUUUUAAAGAAUUCGGCAAAAUUAUUUUUCACCUGUUUAUUAAAAACAUGUCUUUUUGUUUAAAAUUUAAAGUCUAGCCUGCCCAAUGAAGUUUAAAUGGCCGCGAUAUUUUGAUCGUGCUAAGGUAGCAUAAUCAUUAGUUUUUUAAUUGAAAGCUGGAAUGAAGGGUUGGAUGAAAAAAUAACUUUUUUAGUUUAAUUUUAUUAAAAUUUUAUUUUUAAGUAAAAAAGUUUAAAUGUAAUUAAAAGACGAGAAGACCCUAUAAAGUUUUAUAAAUAUUUUAAAAUAUUUUUUUAGAAUUAAUUUUUUAUUUUGAAAUGUUUAUUUGGUUGGGGUGAUUAAAAAAUUUAAUUAACUUUUUUUAUAUUUUUAUAUAAAUUUAUAAAUUUAUGAUCCAAUAUUAUUGAUUAUAAGAUAAAAUUACUUUAGGGAUAACAGCGUAAUUUUAUUAGAAAGUUCAUAUUGAUAAUAAAGAUUGCGACCUCGAUGUUGGAUUAAAAUUUCUAUUUGGUGUAGUGGCUAAAUAAUUAAGUCUGUUCGACUUUUAAAAUUUUACAUGAUCUGAGUUUAAACCGGUGUAAGCCAGGUUGGUUUCUAUCUUUAGUAAAUUAAUAUAUUUUAGUACGAAAGGACCAAGUAU
RNAcentral lists this ribosomal RNA (742 nucleotides) under Aulacophora indica. RNAcentral describes it as "partial large subunit ribosomal RNA". The stretch from base 533 to 691 matches the Rfam family "Bacterial large subunit ribosomal RNA", at positions 2473 to 2632 of the family's 2925-position model. The record is from RNAcentral. Lineage: Eukaryota; Metazoa; Arthropoda; Insecta; Coleoptera; Chrysomelidae.